CCUACGGGGGGCUGCAGUGGGGAAUAUUGGACAAUGGGGGGAACCCUGAUCCAGCGACGCCGCGUGAGUGAAGAAGUAUUUCGGUAUGUAAAGCUCUAUCAGCAGGGAAGAAAAUGACGGUACCUGACUAAGACGCCCCGGCUAACUACGUGCCAGCGGCCGCGGUAAUACGUAGGGGGCAAGCGUGAUCCGGAUUUACUGGGUGUAAAGGGAGCGUAGACGGUGCAGCAAGUCUGCUGUGAAAGGUCGGGGCCCAACCCCGGGACUGCAUUGGAAACGGUUGAACUGGAGUGCAGGAGAGGUAAGCGGAAUUCGUGGUGGAGCGGUGAAAUGCGUAGAUAUUAGGAGGAACACCAGUGGCGAAGGCGGCUUACUGGACUGUAACUGAGGUGGAGGCUCGAAAGCGUGGGGAGCAAACAGGAUUAGAUACCCCUGUAGUG
Molecule: ribosomal RNA, 440 nt
Filed under: uncultured bacterium
Lineage: Bacteria
Description: partial 16S ribosomal RNA
Rfam family: Bacterial small subunit ribosomal RNA
Source: RNAcentral